AACAAACGCUGGCGGCGUGUCUUAAGCAUGCAAGUUGAGCGGCAAGGAGGAGAGAUCCUCCCUAGAGCGGCGGACUGGUGAGUAACGCGUGGGUAAUCUAUCGUAGGCAUGGGGAUAGUCACUAGAAAUAGUGGGUAAUACCGAAUACGUUCCAUGAGGGGAGUACUUAUGGAAGAAAGGGUGCUAUGGCACUGGCCUUAGGUGAGCUCGCGUCCCAUUAGCUAGUUGGUGAGGUAAAGGCCCACCAAGGCGAUGAUGGGUAGCCGGCCUGAGAGGGUGUACGGCCACACUGGGACUGAGAUACGGCCCAGACUCCUACGGGAGGCAGCAGCUAAGAAUAUUCCGCAAUGGACGAAAGUCUGACGGAGCGACGCCGCGUGGAUGAAGAAGGCCGAAAGGUUGUAAAGUUCUUUUGCUAGGGGAGAAUAAGUGAGGAGGGAAUGCCCUCAUGAUGACAAGGACUAGCGAAUAAGCCCCGGCCAACUACGUGCCAGCACG
This 498-nucleotide ribosomal RNA is filed under the name uncultured bacterium. RNAcentral describes it as "bacterial SSU rRNA". It matches the Rfam family "Bacterial small subunit ribosomal RNA", at positions 29 to 515 of the family's 1533-position model. The record is from RNAcentral.